This is a long non-coding RNA of Taeniopygia guttata (zebra finch), 2282 nucleotides long. The record is from Ensembl. NCBI's taxonomy places the organism in Eukaryota, Metazoa, Chordata, Aves, Passeriformes, Estrildidae.
CGGGGCGACUGGAACGCAACAUGGCGGCCUGAGGGCAGCGGUGCCGGCCCGGGCCCGGCCCUCGCCCGCCAGCCCCGGCACCGGCGGGACGGCGCGGAAGGCACAUGAUGACAACCCUGACUCCCUUUCACUGGUAUCUGAAUUUUUGGCCCUGACUAUUUAUGAGCUGAUAAAAGAAAUGGGAUAUUUCAGAGCAACAAGAAAACAUAAUAAUAAAGUUUCCAGCCUCUUUUUCUUGGAUGUAAUGAGCUGGACCACAUCUCAAAAAUCCAUGAAGUGAUAGGCACUCCUGGUAACAAAACUCCAAAAUUUCAAGCACUUGCUUAACACAGGUCAAGAAUUUUGAGUUUUGAAUCCUCCCUUUAAAGAAAGGAAAAGGAAAGUCUUCUCUUGUGCACAAAUUAAAGGUUUCUAUUUCCUGUGUGCAAUGAUAAAAUAUGACCCCAAUGAGAGAACUGCUGCCCAUCAAACCUUAAAGCACCUUUAUUUUCAAGAACUCUGGCAAGUGACUUCAAAUCACUUCAGUUUUGAAGACUAAAGUCAAAAGGUGGAUCUUACUCAGUUUGGCACAUACAAUACUUCAAGGAUAUUGAUUUCCUAACAAGUUCUUUGCUGUUAAACCUCUGGAGACAACUUACACUUCUCUGGCUGUUGGAUGAAUAGGCAAACUUGUGUUUCCCAUCUGCUUUAUAGUUAAAAUACACCCAAACUUUAAACUACAAACUGGCAAGGAUGGUCCCACCCUCAUUCUUCCAGCUAAAAUUCCAUACUGAGAUUAUCUGUGUUCCGCUUACUUUUAAUUAUUUUUUUUAAUGUAGUAGGAAAAAUAUUUUAUUAAAAGUUGCAUCUACAGUAGAGUUCGUAAGUUCCUUCCAGGUAAGUUAUUAGUACCCUGUUUCUUACUAAAAUAAUUUUUUUUCCAUAUAGAACAGAGUGUGGUAUGGACAAUUUAAGCUUCUAGGUGAUUGCCCUAAUAGUAAAGAAGAGGCUGAAAAAAGAAAACCCACACACAUUCCUUGUGUGCUGCUGGACUACAAUUUGUGGCAGGGACAUACCCUGCCAACAUGGAUGUGAGUAGCUGCUGUUGUUCCCCUGAUGCUGGAUAUUGCAAUUCUUCCCCUACUGGUUUGUAUUUUUCCAGCUGAAGGAAAAAAAAGUCUUUUAAAAAGUUACUGCAUAUUUUUUCAGCUAUGUUAUUUUGACUCAGACCAUAUGAAGCACUUAUAUAGAAGUCGUCUACGGGGAGAUAACUACAUGAGUUUUCAGUGAUGAGGUUUAUCUGUAUUUUAACAGUUAAACCCACUAUGUUAAUAAAACAAAACUUCUGAAAAAUAAUCCUGCUCAGUUUCAGUAUUUUCCCCAUUCCUCCUAUUUUAGAAGAAGACAGAUAAGAAUUGUAAAGCACAGCUACAUCUUGAAUAAAGUAGGGAACUAAUUCCCAGCUUAUAAACUGAUCUGGCAGCUCUCUACACACUGGCUGCAUUGCAAGGAUAAGACUUAGUUAUAAGCUACUGCAGUUGCUUCUCCCCAAAUGUUCAUUCAUUUCCUGAAAACAAAUCACUUCUCAUGCCAAAAAAUGUCUUAAGUUUACUUGUAAUUAAAAAAAUUCUACCCAGCUUUAUUGUUGGAGAGCGGGAAGGGCAUUAACUUGUGCCCACAGAUACAGUGUGUUUCUUGAGGCAAGUUCAUGGUUCUGGGCAAGCAGCCUGUGUUCUACUCUGCCUGCAGGAUUCUACAAAUCCCAGUUAGGAAUGUUGCUGCAUAAGAAAAAGGGAAGCAUAUGAUGGACACUUCUAGCUUCUGUCAUUAUGGGGCUGGACAUAGAGGAUUAGUCUUUGCAAGAACUACUGAAAACAAGUUAAGUGGUGUGUUGACUGAUUAAAAAUGACAAGUGUUUAGACAAGCAACAUUAACCUCUGCAAAUCCAUGGAUAUCCCCAUCACACUUAUCAGUUUAAGACCAUUGAAUUAUAAAUGAGAUGCCUGAUGUAAGACAGAGGAGUCUCAGAAAUGCUGCUCCAAUGUGUUAACCCAGUUUCUGACUGACAAGUCAGGAAGUGUGUACAGCUACUGUUGUGGGAUCUUCCCAACUCCAAAUGCACGGGACUACACGAUAACAAAAUCCUUACCCCAUGAAGGUGCCUGUCUGUGAAAUUGCUGCUGUAUGAUGUAUUUGAACUGCAGGAUGUGUUUGGAGAUAUACCAUUUAGAACAAGAACAAAACAGUUGUAUUUCACUUUCUAAUUGAAAUUCAUUUCUAUUAAAUAUGAAGCAAUGUUCUAA